Molecule: ribosomal RNA, 626 nt
Filed under: uncultured Verrucomicrobiota bacterium
Lineage: Bacteria; Pseudomonadati; Verrucomicrobiota
Description: bacterial SSU rRNA
Rfam family: Bacterial small subunit ribosomal RNA
Source: RNAcentral
UAGCAAUACGAUGGAAAGUCUAGUGGCGAACGAGUGCUUAACACGUGGGCAACCUGCCGAGAAGUGGGGGAUAGCUCGCCGAAAGGCGAAUUAAUACCGCAUGUGAUUAGAGUGGACAUCCAUUCGAAAUUAAAGUCGGGGCAACCUGACGCUUCUUGUGGGGCCCGCGGCCUAUCAGCUAGUUGGUGAGGUAACGGCUCACCAAGGCUUUGACGGGUAGCUGGUCUGAGAGGACGACCAGCCACACUGGGACUGAGACACGGCCCAGACACCUACGGGUGGCAGCAGUCGAGAAUUUUUGACAAUGGGGGAAACCCUGAUCGAGCGACGCCGCGUGGAGGAUGAAGGUCUUCGGAUUGUAAACUCCUGUCAUUGGGGAACAAUGCGUGACGCUUAACUGCCGUUGCGUUGAUAGUACCCGAAGAGGAAGAGACGGCUAACUCUGUGCCAGCAGCCGCGGUAAUACAGAGGUCUCAAGCGUUGUUCGGAUUCAUUGGGCGUAAAGGGUGCGUAGGCGGCGCGGUAAGUCGGGUGUGAAAUCUCGGAGCUUAACUCCGAAACUGCAUUCGAUACUGCCGUGCUUGAGGACUGAGAGGAGACUGAAUUCACGGGGUAGCAAAAGGCCA